RNAcentral lists this long non-coding RNA (924 nucleotides) under Salmo salar (Atlantic salmon). RNAcentral's name for it is "lncRNA (ENSSSAG00000103940.1)". Lineage: Eukaryota; Metazoa; Chordata; Actinopteri; Salmoniformes; Salmonidae. The record is from RNAcentral.
GUCUGACUCCAGUGAGCUGAAGAUCCAGUCAGUUAAAGUGUCCCAUUCUGCCACUUACUACUGUGCCUGCUGGGACUCCUCAACCCACAGCUCGAAUUUGGCUCUGGCACGACACUUUAUGUGACAGACAGCAAUCAACGAAAACCCAAAGUGACGGUGUACCCAGCGUCCAACUCUGAGUCGAAUGGGAAGACCACCCUGCUAUGUCUGGCUAGAGACAUGUUUCCAGACUUGGUCAAGAUCUCAUGGAAGAUUGAGGAUGCAAACGGCAGAAGAAUGGAGGUGUCCAAAGCAGAGACGGAACAGCUGGAGCAGAGGGAGGAAGGACAGACAACCAGUAUGAUCAUCAUUGAUAAAGAGAAGACGUACAGGAACAAAUACGUCUGUUCUGUGGAGCAUGAAUGGGGCGCUCAACAAUUUGACAUUCCAAAAGAUACUCCACCAACCUGCCCGUUCAGAAAUGACACGCAGGAGCCACUGACUCUGCAGUUUACCGAAGAUUCCUUCCAGUCAACGUGCAGUCUGAACCUGGCCUCUGUGGUUUACACAGUGAUGAUCGUGAAGAGCAUGGUGUACUGCUGUGGGCUCUCUCUCCUGCUGCACCACAGGAUUCUAGGAAGAGGACCCAGCACCUGAAGACCUCUAUGAGGAAAAUCAUUUAUGUGCUUUUUUACAUUGAUACAAUGUUGUUGUUUUUUUACAUUGAUCCAGCUUGCAUGACAUUUUCCUUGCCUAACACAGCCUGCUCAAAUUAACCAAGUUGAUCAAAAUAACCAUAUUAUUUUAGAUGAGGAUGGAUUUAAUUAUCGCUGCCUUUAUGAACAAAAUGUUGCAACAACAAUGGUUCUGUAAAUCAUUGUAAAAUACAUUUUUUACAGUUCCGUGCUGUUUUCUAUGAAUAAAGGUUACUUAAAACCCCCAAAA